Molecule: transfer RNA, 72 nt
Filed under: Stegodyphus mimosarum
Lineage: Eukaryota; Metazoa; Arthropoda; Arachnida; Araneae; Eresidae
Rfam family: tRNA
About the family: Transfer RNA (tRNA) molecules are approximately 80 nucleotides in length. Their secondary structure includes four short double-helical elements and three loops (D, anti-codon, and T loops).
Source: Rfam by way of RNAcentral
GCUCUUGUGGUGCAAGGGGAAGAAUACUCGACUCUUAUUCGAGAGGUACGAGUUCGAAUCCCGGCGAGGGCA